ACAUAGGGUGCAAGCGUUGUCCGGAAUUAUUGGGCGUAAAGAGCUCGUAGGUCGUUUGUCGCGUCGAUUGUGAAAAUCUGAGGCUCAACCUCAGACCUGCAGUCGAUACGGGCAAACUAGAGUGUGGUAGGGGAGACUGGAAUUCCUGGUGUAGCGGUGGAAUGCGCAGAUAUCAGGAGGAACACCAAUGGCGAAGGCAGGUCUCUGGGCCAUAACUGACACUGAGGAGCGAAAGUGCGGGGAGCGAACAGGAUUAGAUACCCUGGUAGUCCGCACCGUAAACGGUGGGCACUAGUUGUGGGAACCUUCCACGGUUUCCGCGACGCAGCAAACGCAUUAAGUGCCCCGCCUGGGGAGUACGAUCGCAAGAUUA
This 373-nucleotide ribosomal RNA is filed under the name uncultured bacterium. Its description in RNAcentral is "bacterial SSU rRNA". It matches the Rfam family "Bacterial small subunit ribosomal RNA", at positions 525 to 896 of the family's 1533-position model. The record is from RNAcentral.